GACGAACGCUGGCGGCGUGCUUAACACAUGCAAGUCGAACGGAAAGGCCCUGCUUUUGUGGGGUGCUCGAGUGGCGAACGGGUGAAUAACACGUGAGUAACCUGCCCUUGACUUUGGGAUAACUUCAGGAAACUGGGGCUAAUACCGGAUAGGAGCUCCUGCUGCAUGGUGGGGGUUGGAAAGUUUCGGCGGUUGGGGGUGGACUCGCGGCUUAUCAGCUUGUUGGUGGGGUAGUGGCUUACCAAGGCUUUGACGGGUAGCCGGCCUGAGAGGGUGACCGGCCACAUUGGGACUGAGAUACGGCCCAGACUCCUACGGGAGGCAGCAGUGGGGAAUAUUGCACAAUGGGCGGAAGCCUGAUGCAGCAACGCCGCGUGCGGGAUGACGGCCUUCGGGUUGUAAACCGCUUUCGCCUGUGACGAAGCGUGAGUGACGGUAAUGGGUAAAGAAGCACCGGCUAACUACGUG
This 468-nucleotide ribosomal RNA is filed under the name uncultured bacterium. RNAcentral's name for it is "partial 16S ribosomal RNA". It matches the Rfam family "Bacterial small subunit ribosomal RNA", at positions 28 to 507 of the family's 1533-position model. The record is from RNAcentral.